Molecule: microRNA, 20 nt
Filed under: Corchorus capsularis
Lineage: Eukaryota; Viridiplantae; Streptophyta; Magnoliopsida; Malvales; Malvaceae
Description: sRNA CCACVL1_21974
Source: RNAcentral
GAAAAAGAAAAAAAACAAAU